CAGUAGCCACGGGAAUACGGAGGGUGCAAGCGUUAAUCGGAAUUACUGGGCGUAAAGCGCACGCAGGCGGUCUGACAAGUCAGAUGUGAAAUCCCCGGGCUUAACCUGGGAUCUGCAUUUGAAACUGUCAGGCUGGAGUCUUGUAGAGGGGGGUGGAAUUCCAGGUGUAGCGGUGAAAUGCGUAGAGAUCUGGAGGAAUACCGGUGGCGAAGGCGGCCCCCUGGACAAAGACUGACGCUCAGGUGCGAAAGCGUGGGGAGCAAACAGGAUUAGAUACCCCUGUAGUCCCUGUCUCUUAUAC
This 301-nucleotide ribosomal RNA is filed under the name uncultured bacterium. RNAcentral's name for it is "partial 16S ribosomal RNA". It matches the Rfam family "Bacterial small subunit ribosomal RNA", at positions 509 to 807 of the family's 1533-position model. The record is from RNAcentral.